GACGAACGCUGGCGGCGUGCUUAACACAUGCAAGUCGAGCGGGGACAAUUGACUUCGGUUGGUUGUUCCAGCGGCGGACGGGUGAGUAACGCGUGAACAAUCUGUCCCAGACAGGGGGAUAACAGAUGGAAACAUCUGCUAAUACCGCAUAAGACCACGACCCGGCAUCGGGAAGGGGUAAAAGGAGGAAUCCGGUUUGGGGUGAGUUCGCGUCCGAUUAGCUGGUUGGUGAGGUAACGGCCCACCAAGGCGACGAUCGGUAGCCGACCUGAGAGGGUGAUCGGCCACAUUGGAACUGAGAGACGGUCCAA
This 311-nucleotide ribosomal RNA is filed under the name uncultured bacterium. RNAcentral describes it as "bacterial SSU rRNA". It matches the Rfam family "Bacterial small subunit ribosomal RNA", at positions 28 to 334 of the family's 1533-position model. The record is from RNAcentral.